Long non-coding RNA from Harpia harpyja (harpy eagle), 1790 nucleotides. RefSeq lists it as uncharacterized. The transcript is spliced from 4 exons. NCBI's taxonomy places the organism in Eukaryota, Metazoa, Chordata, Aves, Accipitriformes, Accipitridae. The record is from RefSeq and is a predicted model, not a curated record.
UCCCGGCGGCUUGGCCGCUCUGCGGGGAGCACCCGGGGCGGCCUCCCGAAGGAGAGGUGGGAACCUCAGGCUCGGAGCGGGGGGAGGAGGGGGACCGUGCCUCUGCCGGCAGUGGGGCGCUGGACGGCGAGGGGGGGUUUGGGGAAGGCUCUUCCUCACCUGUCCCUUUUCCUUCCCGGAAGCUGGAGCCUCCACCUCCCCCAUUUUCCCCUUCUGCUGUGCGCACGCCAGCCUUGCUGGGUAUUUUUAGCUGGUGCCGCUGUGAUUAGCAUUCAGGGGAGCAAGCGAGGGAGAGAAAGCCGUUUUCCAAGCCGUUUUCUCUUCCCUUUCCAACAGGGCCAAUGCACCUGUCGGUGGUGGGAGGUGGUGCGUGGGGUGUGAUCUGGUGUUUAGCCUUCUCCAGGGAUGCGAUCCUGCUCCCUCUGUUCCAUCAGGGCAGGCCCUGUCAGCACCUCCCAGAGCAGGGCCAGCUCCCUGCGGCAUGGGACACCGCUGCAGGAGCUGCUCCUCCCUGAGAGAGGCUUCUGGGCCUUGCAUGGGGCAGUGGCCUCGCAAGGGCCCUUGGCUGUCCCUGGCUCCUGAGGAUUGGGGCACAUGGGUCUGCUGAUCUGUGGCCAUGUGAAGAUUUUGCUGUAGGAUCUGGGACUUUGGCUCUGCUUGUGCCAGGUCCGCCUGCUGAAAAAAGAGUAUCCAUGUUCAACAGAAGAUGAUAGAACUGCAAGCCACUUGGCCACAUUAGUCCAUCACCUAAAUCAGUCACUGCAAGCAAGUUGGUCUGUCAGCCUCAGUGAAUAGCCAAGUCAGAACCUGAUGGGACUGUACUACAGCUGCUGACUAUAAAGUAUGAGCCUCUCUUUGUACAUCAUGUGCUCUGACUGCUGACCAUCCUGGUGGCCUCCAGUGGACUUGCUCCAGUCUGUCAAUGUCCAUUUUGUACUGGGGAACCAGAACUAGACACAGUACUCCAGAUGCAGUUUUGCAAGUGCCGAAUAGAGGGGAAGGAUCACUCUACCGGACGUGCCAGCUACGCAUGUACCAAUACAGCCCUGGAUGCAGUUGGCCCUCUUUGCUGCAAGGACACACUGCUGAUUCAUGUUUGACUUGCUGUCCACGAGGACCUUGAGAUCUUCUUCUGCAGAACUGCUUCUCUGACAGUCAGCCCCAGCCUGUAUUGUUGCAUGGGGUUAUUCUAUCCCAGAAGCAAGACUGAAUUUUCUCCUGUUGCACUUCACCAGGUUCCUGUAGCCCAUUUCUCCAGAUCCCUCUGAAGAGUAGCCUUUCCCUCCAAUGAACUGACCACUCCUCCCAAUUUGGUGUCAUCCACAAAUCUGCUGAGAGAAGACACCAUCUUAUCAUCCUGGUCAUUGAUGAAGACAUUAAACCAUCUUUGUACCAGUCUUGAUCCCUGAGGGAUGCCACUGGUUACCAAUCACCAGCUGUCCAGCCAGUUUCAACCCACUGCAUUGUCCACUUAUCCAGUCCAUAUCUCACCAGUUUGGUGGUAAGGAGAUGUGGAGGUUUAAGCCCAGCAGGCAAUAAAGCACCACAAGGCUGCUCGCUCACUCCUCCCCAACCCAUCCAGUGGGAUGGGGAGGACAAUCAGAAAGGAGAAAGAAGAAAAAAAAAAAAUAGAACCUCGUGGGUUGAGAUAAGGACAGUUUACUGGGACAACACAACGAGAGAAGUUACAACAACAACAGUACUAAUAAAAGAAUAUACAAAACGAGUGAUGCACAGUGCAACUGCUCACCACCCAGAACCUGAUGCUCUGCCACUCCCCCCACAGAGAG